Papilio polytes (common Mormon) is the source of this 283-nucleotide long non-coding RNA. RefSeq lists it as uncharacterized. The record is from RefSeq and is a predicted model, not a curated record. NCBI's taxonomy places the organism in Eukaryota, Metazoa, Arthropoda, Insecta, Lepidoptera, Papilionidae. The transcript is spliced from 3 exons.
CAACUAACGUGGCACCUCUUAUUGCCGCGGCGCUGGUCAUAGCAGCAUUUCUUGUGCUACUUUGCCUCAUAAUGCGCUGUCGUCGGAAGAGAGAUACCAUAGAUUACAAAAUUACUAAGCUUGACAGGUACGCAGAAGUACUACACGCAAGCACAGCGUGCAGUCACCGAAGUCCAGUAAUGCAUAUAGCCAGACGCAAUAAAGUAGAAGGCACAGAGGAGAAUUUCUACAGCUCACCAAUAGCGUUACAAACACGACAACCUAGAAUCACAUUACAGUAAUU